This 427-nucleotide ribosomal RNA is filed under the name uncultured Aquicella sp. Its description in RNAcentral is "bacterial SSU rRNA". It matches the Rfam family "Bacterial small subunit ribosomal RNA", at positions 355 to 774 of the family's 1533-position model. The record is from RNAcentral. Lineage: Bacteria; Pseudomonadati; Pseudomonadota; Gammaproteobacteria; Legionellales; Coxiellaceae.
UGGGGAAUAUUGGACAAUGGGGGCAACCCUGAUCCAGCGAUGCCGCGUGGGUGAAGAAGGCCUUCGGGUUGUAAAGCCCUUUAGGUUGGGACGAAGUGCAGCGGUUUAAGAGAUAGUUGCAUUGACGGUACUGACAGAAUAAGCACCGGCAAACUCUGUGCCAGCAGCCGCGGUAAUACAGAGGGUGCGAGCGUUAAUCGGAGUUACUGGGCGUAAAGGGCGCGUAGGCGGUUAGGUGAGUGUGAUGUGAAAGCCCUGGGCUUAACCUAGGAAGUGCAUCGCAAACGACCUAACUGGAGUAUAAGAGAGGGUGGUGGAAUUUCCGGUGUAGCGGUGAAAUGCGUAGAGAUCGGAAGGAACGUCAAUGGCGAAGGCAGCCACCUGGCUUAAUACUGACGCUGAGGCGCGAAAGCGUGGGGAUCGAACA